This 1440-nucleotide ribosomal RNA is filed under the name Pectobacterium brasiliense. RNAcentral describes it as "Pectobacterium carotovorum subsp. brasiliense 16S ribosomal RNA". It matches the Rfam family "Bacterial small subunit ribosomal RNA". Lineage: Bacteria; Pseudomonadati; Pseudomonadota; Gammaproteobacteria; Enterobacterales; Pectobacteriaceae. The record is from RNAcentral.
ACGCUGGCGGCAGGCCUAACACAUGCAAGUCGAGCGGUAGCACAGAAGAGCUUGCUCUUUGGGUGACGAGCGGCGGACGGGUGAGUAAUGUCUGGGAAACUGCCUGAUGGAGGGGGAUAACUACUGGAAACGGUAGCUAAUACCGCAUAACCUCGCAAGAGCAAAGAGGGGGACCUUAGGGCCUCUCGCCAUCAGAUGUGCCCAGAUGGGAUUAGCUAGUAGGUGAGGUAAUGGCUCACCUAGGCGACGAUCCCUAGCUGGUCUGAGAGGAUGACCAGCCACACUGGAACUGAGACACGGUCCAGACUCCUACGGGAGGCAGCAGUGGGGAAUAUUGCACAAUGGGCGCAAGCCUGAUGCAGCCAUGCCGCGUGUGUGAAGAAGGCCUUCGGGUUGUAAAGCACUUUCAGCGGGGAGGAAGGCAGUAAGGUUAAUAACCUUAUUGAUUGACGUUACCCGCAGAAGAAGCACCGGCUAACUCCGUGCCAGCAGCCGCGGUAAUACGGAGGGUGCAAGCGUUAAUCGGAAUUGAACUGGGCGUAAAGCGCACGCAGGCGGUCUGUUAAGUUGGAUGUGAAAUCCCCGGGCUUAACCUGGGAACUGCAUUCAAAACUGACAGGCUAGAGUCUUGUAGAGGGGGGUAGAAUUCCAGGUGUAGCGGUGAAAUGCGUAGAGAUCUGGAGGAAUACCGGUGGCGAAGGCGGCCCCCUGGACAAAGACUGACGCUCAGGUGCGAAAGCGUGGGGAGCAAACAGGAUUAGAUACCCUGGUAGUCCACGCUGUAAACGAUGUCGAUUUGGAGGUUGUGCCCUUGAGGCGUGGCUUCCGAAGCUAACGCGUUAAAUCGACCGCCUGGGGAGUACGGCCGCAAGGUUAAAACUCAAAUGAAUUGACGGGGGCCCGCACAAGCGGUGGAGCAUGUGGUUUAAUUCGAUGCAACGCGAAGAACCUUACCUACUCUUGACAUCCACAGAAUUCGGCAGAGAUGCCUUAGUGCCUUCGGGAACUGUGAGACAGGUGCUGCAUGGCUGUCGUCAGCUCGUGUUGUGAAAUGUUGGGUUAAGUCCCGCAACGAGCGCAACCCUUAUCCUUUGUUGCCAGCGAUUCGGUCGGGAACUCAAAGGAGACUGCCGGUGAUAAACCGGAGGAAGGUGGGGAUGACGUCAAGUCAUCAUGGCCCUUACGAGUAGGGCUACACACGUGCUACAAUGGCGUAUACAAAGAGAAGCGACCUCGCGAGAGCAAGCGGACCUCAUAAAGUACGUCGUAGUCCGGAUUGGAGUCUGCAACUCGACUCCAUGAAGUCGGAAUCGCUAGUAAUCGUAGAUCAGAAUGCUACGGUGAAUACGUUCCCGGGCCUUGUACACACCGCCCGUCACACCAUGGGAGUGGGUUGCAAAAGAAGUAGGUAGCUUAACCUUCGGGAGGGCGCUUACCACG